RNAcentral lists this ribosomal RNA (253 nucleotides) under uncultured prokaryote. Its description in RNAcentral is "partial 16S ribosomal RNA". It matches the Rfam family "Bacterial small subunit ribosomal RNA", at positions 525 to 777 of the family's 1533-position model. The record is from RNAcentral.
ACGGGGGGGGCAAGCGUUGUUCGGAAUUACUGGGCGUAAAGGGCUCGUAGGUGGCCAACUAAGUCAGACGUGAAAUCCCUCGGCUUAACCGGGGAACUGCGUCUGAUACUGGAUGGCUUGAGUUUGGGAGAGGGACGCGGAAUUCCAGGUGUAGCGGUGAAAUGCGUAGAUAUCUGGAGGAACACCAGUGGCGAAAGCGGCUCACUGGGUCUUUCCUAACGCUGAGGCACGAAAGCUAGGGGAGCGAACGGGA